RNAcentral lists this transfer RNA (90 nucleotides) under Elusimicrobia bacterium RIFCSPHIGHO2_02_FULL_57_9. Its description in RNAcentral is "tRNA-Ser". It matches the Rfam family "tRNA". From Rfam's summary of the family: Transfer RNA (tRNA) molecules are approximately 80 nucleotides in length. Their secondary structure includes four short double-helical elements and three loops (D, anti-codon, and T loops). Lineage: Bacteria; Pseudomonadati; Elusimicrobiota. The record is from RNAcentral.
GGAAGGGUGCGUGAGCGGUUGAAACGGCACGACUGGAAAUCGUGUAGAGUGUAACAGCUCUCGGGGGUUCGAAUCCCCCCCCUUCCGCCG